RNAcentral lists this ribosomal RNA (422 nucleotides) under uncultured Dyadobacter sp. RNAcentral describes it as "bacterial SSU rRNA". It matches the Rfam family "Bacterial small subunit ribosomal RNA", at positions 355 to 774 of the family's 1533-position model. The record is from RNAcentral. Lineage: Bacteria; Pseudomonadati; Bacteroidota; Cytophagia; Cytophagales; Spirosomataceae.
UAGGGAAUAUUGGGCAAUGGAUGCAAGUCUGACCCAGCCAUGCCGCGUGCCGGAUGAAGGCCCUCAGGGUUGUAAACGGCUUUUAUUCGGGAAGAAGAGCAGGGAUGCGUCCUUGUGUGACGGUACCGAAUGAAUAAGCACCGGCUAACUCCGUGCCAGCAGCCGCGGUAAUACGGAGGGUGCGAGCGUUGUCCGGAUUUAUUGGGUUUAAAGGGUGCGUAGGUGGCUGUUUAAGUCAGUGGUGAAAUACGGUUGCUCAACAAUCGAGGUGCCAUUGAUACUGAAUAGCUUGAAAUAAUUGGAGGCUGCCGGAAUGGAUGGUGUAGCGGUGAAAUGCAUAGAUAUCAUCCAGAACACCGAUUGCGAAGGCAGGUGGCUACGAUUGGUUUGACACUGAGGCACGAAAGCAUGGGGAGCAAACA